CCCGCACAAGCGGAGGAACAUGUGGUUUAAUUCGAUGAUACGCGAGGAACCUUUACCUGGGCUAGAACGCAGAAUGACAGAUGCCGAAAGGUGUUUUCCCAGCAAUGGGCAUUUUGCGAGGUGCUGCAUGGUUGUCGUCAGCUCGUGCCGUGAGGUGUCGGGUUAAGUCCCAUAACGAGCGCAACCCCUAUUGUUAGUUGCCAUCAUUCAGUUGGGCACUCUAGCGAGACUGCCGGUAAUAAACCGGAGGAAGGUGGGGAUGACGUCAAAUCAUCAUGCCCCUUAUGACCUGGGCUACACACGUGCUACAAUGGUUGGUACAACGAGUUGCGAGUCGGUGACGGCGAGCUAAUCUCUUAAAGCUAAUCUCAGUUCGGAUUGUAGGCUGCAACUCGCCUACAUGAAGUCGGAAUCGCUAGUAAUCGCGGAUCAGCACGCCGCGGUGAAUACGUUCCCGGGCCUU
Molecule: ribosomal RNA, 463 nt
Filed under: uncultured Streptococcus sp.
Lineage: Bacteria; Bacillati; Bacillota; Bacilli; Lactobacillales; Streptococcaceae
Description: bacterial SSU rRNA
Rfam family: Bacterial small subunit ribosomal RNA
Source: RNAcentral